This 378-nucleotide ribosomal RNA is filed under the name Triticum aestivum (bread wheat). RNAcentral's name for it is "partial small subunit ribosomal RNA". The record is from RNAcentral. Lineage: Eukaryota; Viridiplantae; Streptophyta; Magnoliopsida; Poales; Poaceae.
AUGAGAUGUGUUAAGCAGAAAGGCUUUAGUGAACGUUGGCAACAAUGGGUCAAGUUGACUGUGUAAGGUGGUACAUUCUCAGUGAAAAUUUACAACACUUGUGGUCCUUACUUUGGGAUUUCUGGAGAUGUACGACAUGGCAAUCCUUUGUCUCCUUCUCUAUUCAGUUUGACGGUUGAUAGCCUGAACCAUAUGAUCAACAAGGUGCAACAAACUGGCAAGUUGGUGGGUCUAGUGUCACAUCUGGUUAUCGGAGGCAUUUCUAUCUUGCAAUAUGCGGAUGAUACAAUAUUCUUCAUGCAAGAUGAUGUGGAGCAAGCAGUACAUAUGAAACUAAUUCUGUAUCUAUGUAAGGCGAUGCCUAGGCUAAAAAAUUAA